GGACAGGUACCCAAGUGGCCAAAGGGGGCGGACUGUAAAUCCGCUGUCAACGACUUCGGGGGUUCGAAUCCCUCUCUGUCCA
This 82-nucleotide transfer RNA is filed under the name Chloroflexota bacterium. RNAcentral's name for it is "Chloroflexi bacterium tRNA-Tyr". It matches the Rfam family "tRNA". Rfam says of the family: Transfer RNA (tRNA) molecules are approximately 80 nucleotides in length. Lineage: Bacteria; Bacillati; Chloroflexota. The record is from RNAcentral.